GGAAUUUCAUUGUCCGGGGAAGUUUUCGGAUCGGGGCGACGUGGGCGGUUCCCUCCCCGGGACGUCGCGAAAAGUCCAUUGAACCUUUUCAUUUAGAGGAAGGAGAAGUCGUAACAAGGUUUCCGUAGGUGAACCUGCGGAAGGAUCAUUG
Molecule: ribosomal RNA, 151 nt
Filed under: Peltaea sp. Fernandes Jr 286
Lineage: Eukaryota; Viridiplantae; Streptophyta; Magnoliopsida; Malvales; Malvaceae
Description: partial 18S ribosomal RNA
Rfam family: Eukaryotic small subunit ribosomal RNA
Source: RNAcentral